RNAcentral lists this ribosomal RNA (397 nucleotides) under uncultured bacterium. RNAcentral describes it as "bacterial SSU rRNA". It matches the Rfam family "Bacterial small subunit ribosomal RNA", at positions 362 to 776 of the family's 1533-position model. The record is from RNAcentral.
UAUUGCGCAAUGGGGGUAACCCUGAUGCAGCGACGCCGCGUGAGUGAAGAAGUAUCUCGGUAUGUAAAGCUCUAUCAGCAGGAAAGAUAAUGACGGUACCUGACUAAGAAGCCCCGGCUAACUGCGUUCCAGCAGCCGCGGUAAUACGUAGGGGGCAAGCGUUAUCCGGAAUUACUGGGCGUAAAGGGAGCGUAGACGGUGAAGUAAGUCUGGAGUGAAAGGCGGGGGCCCAACCCCCGGACUGCUCUGGAAACUAUUUGACUGGAGUGCAGGAGAGGUAAGCGGAAUUCCUAGUGUAGCGGUGAAAUGCGUAGAUAUCAGGAGGAACACCAAUGGCGAAGGCGGCUUACUGGACUGUAACUGACGUUGAGGCUCGAAAGCGUGGGGAGCAAACAGG